GUAUAGCAAUAGCUACUUGCAUCAUUGCAAAUGUGAUGCAAGAUCGACUAUGUCGAAUAAAAUUCUAGGUAGAAUUAUGAUAAUGACAUUGUCUGCCUAUGUGUCUUGACCAAAUUACGUGCCAGCAGUCGCGGUAAUACGUAGAAGACUAGUGUUAUUCAUGUUUAAUCGGUUUAAAGGGUACCUAGACGGUAAAUCAAGCCUAAAAGGAAAUAAAUAAAGGGACUAAUUUACUAGAGUUACUUAUGAGGGGGUAUUAAAGUACUGCUGGUGUAGAGAUGAAAUUCUGUCAUACCUCUUUUCAAUAGAAAAGUAAUGGCACAGGUAUAGGCGAAGGCAUCCCCUUAUGUGAUAACUGACGUUGAGGGACGAAGGCUUUGUGUAGCGAACAGGAUUAGAUACCCCAGUAGUCAAAGCAGAAAAUGAUGAAUGUCAUAGAUUAGAUGUAUAAGUUUAUUCUAUAAAUGAAAGUGUAAGCAUUCCACCUCAAGAGUAAUUUGGCAACAUUGGAACUGAAAUCAUUAGACCGUUUCUGAAACCAGUAGUGAAGUAUGUUGUUUAAUUUGAUGAUCCGCAAAAAACCUUACCACAAUUUGAAUAUUUAUAUCUUUUAUUGUUUUUCUUUUUAACUUACUUCUGAUUUUCUACUUAAAAGAAAACAAUAACAAGAAAAAAGAGGCAAUAAGAUAUAUUUACAAGCGUUGCACGGCUGUCUUCAGUUAAUGUCGCGAGACUAUGGUUAGUUCCAUUAAAUUAACGUAAACCCUUACUUUAUUUUUAUAUAGAGUAGUUCCCCACUAUAUUGGAUAUGAUAACAGGGACUAAGACAAGUCAUCAUGGCCUAAAUAUUGUGGGCUAUAGA
Molecule: ribosomal RNA, 862 nt
Filed under: Flavocetraria minuscula
Lineage: Eukaryota; Fungi; Ascomycota; Lecanoromycetes; Lecanorales; Parmeliaceae
Description: SSU rRNA
Rfam family: Bacterial small subunit ribosomal RNA
Source: RNAcentral